AUUGAACGCUAGCGGGAUGCCUUACACAUGCAAGUCGAACGGAGUGGCGACCGGGUGAGUAAUGUAUCGGAACGUGCCCAGUAGCGGGGGAUAAAGACGAGAAAGCGGAGCUAAUACAGCAAACACUUGGAGCGGGCGAUAUCGGAUUAGAUAGUGGGGGGGGUAACGGCUCACCAAGGCGACGAUCCGUAGCUGGUUUGAGAGGACGACCAGCCACACUGGGACUGAGACACGGCCCAGACUCCUACGGGAGGUAGCAGUGGGGAAGUUUGGACAAUGGGCGAAACCCUGAUCCAGCCAUCCCGCGUGUGCGAUGAAGGCCUUCGGGUUGUAAAGCACUUUUGGCAGGAAAGCGGUACCUGCAGAAUAAGCACCGGCUAACUACGUGCCAGCAGCCGCGGUAAUAC
This 407-nucleotide ribosomal RNA is filed under the name uncultured bacterium. Its description in RNAcentral is "partial 16S ribosomal RNA". It matches the Rfam family "Bacterial small subunit ribosomal RNA", at positions 29 to 526 of the family's 1533-position model. The record is from RNAcentral.